AGAGUUUGAUCMUGGCUCAGAUUGAACGCUGGCGGCAUGCUUUACACAUGCAAGUCGAACGCGAAAAGUGGGGGGGCAACCCUGCGAGUAGAGUGGCGAACGGGUGAGUAAUACAUCGGAACGUGCCCAGGAGUGGGGGACAACCUCGAGAAAUCGAGGCUAAUACCGCAUACGUCCUGAGGGAGAAAGCGGGGGAUUCGCAAGGACCUCGCGCUCAUGGAGCGGCCGAUGUCGGAUUAGCUAGUUGGUGGGGUAAAGGCCUACCAAGGCGACGAUCCGUAGCUGGUCUGAGAGGAUGAUCAGCCACACUGGGACUGAGACACGGCCCAGACUCCUACGGGAGGCAGCAGUGGGGAAUUUUGGACAAUGGGGGAAACCCUGAUCCAGCCAUGCCGCGUGAGUGAAGAAGGCCUUCGGGUUGUAAAGCUCUUUCGGCCGGAACGAAAUCGGGGGGUGUGAAUAGGCGCCUCUGGAUGACGGUACCGGAAGAAAGAAGCACCGGCUAACUACGUGCCGCCGCGGUAAUA
RNAcentral lists this ribosomal RNA (527 nucleotides) under bacterium enrichment culture clone Cont239_3130. RNAcentral's name for it is "bacterial SSU rRNA". It matches the Rfam family "Bacterial small subunit ribosomal RNA", at positions 8 to 525 of the family's 1533-position model. The record is from RNAcentral.